Long non-coding RNA from Oncorhynchus masou masou (cherry salmon), 417 nucleotides. RefSeq lists it as uncharacterized. The transcript has 4 exons. NCBI's taxonomy places the organism in Eukaryota, Metazoa, Chordata, Actinopteri, Salmoniformes, Salmonidae. The record is from RefSeq and is a predicted model, not a curated record.
GCACCCCAGCAAACCCUGUACUCCUGUCUCUGUGUUGGACAUGGGCCACGAUGGUGCCACUGUGACUCUAAAUAUAUCCAGACGGACUUUCCUCCCUAUUGGCGUCUGUCGCUACAACUUUGAGACAGUUACUUACUGUCAUACUUAAAAUGUGAUCCCUUACAAGACACUGAGGACUGAGUACAAGCCCUUUGAAGCCAAACGACGGCUGCUGGGGAACUUUGACAUGUUUCUUUCAGACGACCGCAUUCGCCGCCUGCUGUCCUGGCACAUUGGCAAGCACUUCCACGAGAGAAAGAAGCAGCCUUUGUCAUUGAACCUGCAGAGCAAGAAGCUGGCCUUGGACAUCCAGAGAACCAUCCAGGGAACAACGACCUGCAUUUCUAAGAAAGGCUGCUACUGCAUGGCUUAUGUGGC